Molecule: small RNA, 158 nt
Filed under: Streptomyces oceani
Lineage: Bacteria; Bacillati; Actinomycetota; Actinomycetes; Kitasatosporales; Streptomycetaceae
Description: c-di-AMP sequence
Rfam family: c-di-AMP riboswitch aptamer (ydaO/yuaA leader)
About the family: This family represents a conserved RNA structure found upstream of the ydaO and yuaA genes in Bacillus subtilis and related genes in other bacteria. The ydaO/yuaA element is thought to act as a genetic "off" switch for the ydaO and yuaA genes in its native state.
Source: RNAcentral
GUACGGUCAUCGCCGAAUCCCCGUGGUGCGAGCCAUGGGAGCCGGGGACCCACACGCAGUCCCGGGGGUGAAUCGGGCGGCCUUGAGAGAGGGGCCCGUAGGAGACCUUCCUGCUCCGAACCCGUCAGCUAACCCGGUAGGCGAGAAGGAAGGAAAGG